AUUCCGAGGUGCGGCUACGGCCAAUCCGUAUUGUUCAAAGGACUGUCAAGAAAAGCUGAUGUGUAGUGCUAAGGGGACCCGUACCGUAAACCGACACAGGUGGGUGGGUAGAAUAUACCAAGGCGUAAGAGUGAAACCUGGUUAAGGAACUCGGCAAAAUAGCCCCGUAACUUCGGAAUAAGGGGUGCCCUCUUCGGAGGGCCGCAGUGAAAUGGAUCAACCGACUGUUUAGCAAAAACACAGCAUUCUGCGAAGACGCAAGUCGAUGUAUAGGAUGUGACACGUGACCAAUGCCGAAAGAUUAAGGCAAGGGGUUAGCGCAAGCGAAGCUCUGAACCCAAGUCCCGGUGAAUGUCGGCCGUAACUAUAACGGUCCUAAGGUAGCGAAAUUCCUUGUCGGGUAAGUUCCGACCUGCACGAAUCGUGCAACGAGUUGAUCGCUGUCUCAACCAGGAGCUCAGUGAAGUUGUAGUGCCGGUGAAGAUGCCGGCUACCCGCAGAAGGACGGAAAGACCCUAUGAACCUUAACUGUAAGCUGUCACUGGUUUUUCGGUUUCAAUGCUCAGAGUAAGUGGGAGACUUUGAAGCGGCCUUUCAGGGGGCUGCAGAGUCAUCAAUGAGACACCACCCUUUGAAUUUGGAAAAUCUAACAUCCUGCCCUGAAUCGGGCGGAAGGACAAUGGCAGCCGGUCAGUUUUACUGGGGCGGUAUCCUCCCAAAGUGUAACGGAGGAGCGCGAAGUUUGGCUCAGCGUGGUUGGCAAUCACGUUUCGAGUGUAUAGGCAUAAGCCAGACUAACUGUGAGACUGACACGUCGAGCAGAUACGAAAGUAGGCCUAAGUGAUCCGGUAGUUGAAUGUGGAAUUGCUAUCGCUCAACGGAUAAAAGGUACUCUAGGGAUAACAGGCUGAUCGCGCCCAAGAGUUCAUAUCGACGGCGCGGUUUGGCACCUCGAUGUCGGCUCGUCGCAUCCUGGGGCUGGAGAAGGUCCCAAGGGUUUGGCUGUUCGCCAAUUAAAGCGGCACGCGAGCUGGGUUCAGAACGUCGCGAGACAGUUCGGUCCUCUAUCCUCUGUGGGCGUAGGAGAAUUGAGGGGUUCAAACCCUAGUACGAGAGGACCGGGUUUGACGCACCUCUGGUGUUCCAGUUGUCCUGUCAAGGGCACGGCUGGGUAGCUAAGUGCGGACUAGAUAAGCGCUGAAAGCAUCUAAGCGUCAAGCUAUUCCCAAGAUAAAUUCUCCCUGAAGGAUCGUGGAAGACUACCACGUCGAUAGGCUGUAGGUAUAAGUCUAGUAAUAGAUUCAGCCGAGCAGUACUAAUCAUCCGUUUGGCUUGUUCCA
This 1340-nucleotide ribosomal RNA is filed under the name Verrucomicrobiales bacterium. RNAcentral's name for it is "partial 23S ribosomal RNA". It matches the Rfam family "Bacterial large subunit ribosomal RNA", at positions 1553 to 2925 of the family's 2925-position model. Lineage: Bacteria; Pseudomonadati; Verrucomicrobiota; Verrucomicrobiia; Verrucomicrobiales. The record is from RNAcentral.